CCUACGGGGGGCAACAGUGAGGAAUAUUGGUCAAUGGGCGCGAGCCUGAACCAGCCAAGUCGCGUGAGGGAAGACGGUCCUAUGGAUUGUAAACUUCUUUUGUGCGGGAGCAAUAAUGGUCACGUGUGGCCAGACGAGAGUACCGUACGAAUAAGCAUCGGCUAACUCCGUGCCAGCAGCCGCGGUAAUACGGGGGAUGCAAGCGUUAUCCGGAUUUAUUGGGUUUAAAGGGUGCGUAGGCUGUGAGGUAAGUCAGCGGUGAAAUGCCCCCGCUCAACGGGGUGAAGUGCCAUUGAUAAUGCCUUGCUGGAAUGCGUAGGCCGUGGGAGGAAUGUGUGGUGUAGCGGUGAAAUGCAUAGAUAUCACACAGAACACCGAUUGCGAAGGCAUCUCACGAAUCCGCGAUUGACGCUGAUGCACGAAAGCGUGGGUAUCAAACAGGAUUAGAUACCCGGGUAGUC
Molecule: ribosomal RNA, 461 nt
Filed under: uncultured bacterium
Lineage: Bacteria
Description: partial 16S ribosomal RNA
Rfam family: Bacterial small subunit ribosomal RNA
Source: RNAcentral